This 68-nucleotide transfer RNA is filed under the name Bombyx mori (domestic silkworm). RNAcentral describes it as "tRNA-His". The record is from RNAcentral. Lineage: Eukaryota; Metazoa; Arthropoda; Insecta; Lepidoptera; Bombycidae. RNAcentral also lists the same sequence under 1 other name.
UAUUUAAAUAGUUUAAAUAAAAUAAUGAUUUGUGGGGUCAUAGAUGUGAUAAAAUAUCAUUUUAAAUU